Molecule: long non-coding RNA, 663 nt
Organism: Musa acuminata AAA Group (dessert banana)
Lineage: Eukaryota; Viridiplantae; Streptophyta; Magnoliopsida; Zingiberales; Musaceae
Exons: 3
Source: RefSeq, a predicted model, not a curated record
UGAUGGGGAUGGAAUAUUAAUACUGACUUGUAUCAGUCGUCCGGACAAAGGCGGGCGUCGCUCUCGUUCCCAAAUCCGACCUUAGCCUCUUUCCUCGUCGUCUCCGAUCUCUUGGGCUUCCCAGCGUCCGAUCUCGUCGAUCAUGUCGUCGGAGAAGGGUCAACCAUUGCCCAAGUUUGGAGAAUGGGAUGUCAAUAACCCUGCCUCAGCUGAAGGGUUCACCGUUAUAUUUAAUAAGGCUCGAGAUGAAAAGAAGACAGGUGGUAACUCAGGUGCAUCAUCAACACCACCGAGAAACAUAGGUGGUUUGCGACCAGAUGAUACUUACCACUAUCCAAGGAAAAGUCGAAAGUGGUUCUGCUGUGGUUGAAUUCUGCUGCUGGAGCAAUGGGUACUUGGUGAUCUUAGUUUGGGGUUGCAAGGUGUUAAAGAAAGGUUUGUUUUAGCGAACAGAUGCUGUCCUUGAAUAUUCAUCAUGUCCGGUGAUCCGUAUGUAUCGAUGUUAUAUCGAUCGUAAAUAGACAUAAAAGGAGGACAGAUGGAUGCUAAAACUCUUUCUAUUUGUUCAGUUUUGCUAUAUGGUUGCUGGAAAGAGCAGUGUCAUAUAAUGUGUCUCUGUCAUUUGAUUCUGAGAGUAAUUAGAAGAAUAGUCUUCCCUCUGUA